This 730-nucleotide small RNA is filed under the name Pan troglodytes (chimpanzee). RNAcentral's name for it is "retained intron". Lineage: Eukaryota; Metazoa; Chordata; Mammalia; Primates; Hominidae. The record is from RNAcentral.
GGGUAUGAACCUGGGGUCCCCAGGGAAGAACCGUGAAGCCGGAGCUGUACUCCACGUGUGUCGGGCACAGGGAGCCCUGUGGGGACACAGGGUCUCCCUUAGACCAAGGCCACCCGGCCACCCAGGCAUGGGCACUGAAGGGGCAGGGCAGGGUCUGACCGUGGCCAAGCCCCGCAGCAGCCUCCUGGAGCAGUGGCCGCUCUUCAGGGGUUCUGGUCCCGCCCUGAGGCAGAGCUGCCCCCUUCCCUGUUAUGUGCAGAUGGCUUCCGGAAAGUGGUCCACAUCGAGCAGGGCGGCCUGGUCAAGCCAGAGAGAGACGACACGGAGUUCCAGCACCCAUGCUUCCUGCGUGGCCAGGAGCAGCUCCUUGAGAACAUCAAGAGGAAAGUGACCAGUGUGUCCACCCUGAAGAGUGAAGACAUAAAGAUCCGCCAGGACAGCGUCACCAAGCUGCUGACGGACGUGCAGCUGAUGAAGGGGAAGCAGGAGUGCAUGGACUCCAAGCUCCUGGCCAUGAAGCAUGAGAAUGAGGCUCUGUGGCGGGAGGUGGCCAGCCUUCGGCAGAAGCAUGCCCAGCAACAGAAAGUCGUCAACAAGGUGGGGGCAGGGCCAGAGGGCCGGCGGGGGCCCCACAAGGGCCGGGGUAACUGUGUCCUCUCUCUCCACAGCUCAUUCAGUUCCUGAUCUCACUGGUGCAGUCAAACCGGAUCCUGGGGGUGAAGAGAAAGAU